RNAcentral lists this ribosomal RNA (464 nucleotides) under Vreelandella stevensii. RNAcentral's name for it is "partial 16S ribosomal RNA". It matches the Rfam family "Bacterial small subunit ribosomal RNA", at positions 338 to 795 of the family's 1533-position model. Lineage: Bacteria; Pseudomonadati; Pseudomonadota; Gammaproteobacteria; Oceanospirillales; Halomonadaceae. The record is from RNAcentral.
CCUAAGGGGGGCAGCAGUGGGGAAUAUUGGACAAUGGGCGAAAGCCUGAUCCAGCCAUGCCGCGUGUGUGAAGAAGGCCUUCGGGUUGUAAAGCACUUUCAGUGGGGAAGAAAGCCUUGGGGCUAAUACCCUCGAGGAAGGACAUCACCCACAGAAGAAGCACCGGCUAACUCCGUGCCAGCAGCCGCGGUAAUACGGAGGGUGCGAGCGUUAAUCGGAAUUACUGGGCGUAAAGCGCGCGUAGGCGGUCUGAUAAGCCGGUUGUGAAAGCCCCGGGCUCAACCUGGGAACGGCAUCCGGAACUGUCAGGCUAGAGUGCAGGAGAGGAAGGUAGAAUUCCCGGUGUAGCGGUGAAAUGCGUAGAGAUCGGGAGGAAUACCAGUGGCGAAGGCGGCCUUCUGGACUGACACUGACGCUGAGGUGCGAAAGCGUGGGUAGCAAACAGGAUUAGAUACCCAGUAGUC